UCUACGGGGUGCAGCAGUGGGGAAUAUUGGACAAUGGGCGAAAGCCUGAUCCAGCCAUGCCGCGUGUGUGAAGAAGGCCUUCGGGUUGUAAAGCACUUUCAGUGGGGAAGAAAGCCUUGGGGCUAAUACCCUCGAGGAAGGACAUCACCCACAGAAGAAGCACCGGCUAACUCCGUGCCAGCAGCCGCGGUAAUACGGAGGGUGCGAGCGUUAAUCGGAAUUACUGGGCGUAAAGCGCGCGUAGGCGGUCUGAUAAGCCGGUUGUGAAAGCCCCGGGCUCAACCUGGGAACGGCAUCCGGAACUGUCAGGCUAGAGUGCAGGAGAGGAAGGUAGAAUUCCCGGUGUAGCGGUGAAAUGCGUAGAGAUCGGGAGGAAUACCAGUGGCGAAGGCGGCCUUCUGGACUGACACUGACGCUGAGGUGCGAAAGCGUGGGUAGCAAACAGGAUUAGAUACCCCUGUAGUC
Molecule: ribosomal RNA, 465 nt
Filed under: Vreelandella stevensii
Lineage: Bacteria; Pseudomonadati; Pseudomonadota; Gammaproteobacteria; Oceanospirillales; Halomonadaceae
Description: partial 16S ribosomal RNA
Rfam family: Bacterial small subunit ribosomal RNA
Source: RNAcentral